GCGGCCCGUGCCCGGCCGGCGCCGCUCGAGGAGCGCUGGCUUUAUCCCCCGCUCCGUGAGGACCAGCUCCGGGGCGCCGGCGCGGCGCAGCCCGGCCGAGGUGCCCGCCUCAGGCGUCGGCAGUGGCAGGAAAAAAGUGACACAUCACAGAUAACCAGCAGUCCCCCAUCCUGCUCUCAGAGUUGCUGCAGAGUAGACGGCCCUGCUGGCUGGGCUAACCAGGCUGCGGUGGGGAGUGGAUCCCAGCGCUGAGGCCUCCCGAGUGCUGAGACCUCCUGGCCACACACCUUGCUUUUGGCCACCUUCCAUGCGAUGGAGCAAUGUAGCUGAGUUGUGGGUUAACUUAGGCUUGCAUCACCACCCUGAACCAGAUUGCAUCUGCAGUCAUCUGGAACUGACUACAUGCCUGAACUGACAAAAAGAUGCUGCGGAAACGUGGAUCUCUGGGGCCUUGGCAAGCUGCUUAUGGGAAAUGGGAACAGACCUGCAAAGCUCGUGGGAAGACUGGGAUUAACCCUGAAAAGGGGGAUAUGCCUGUUGCCCAGGAACGUGUGAUGACCAUGCUUUUGCUGUAUCCUGUCUCUCUACUACCUGGUCCUCUGGAAGACAAAAGAGUGAGAAUCAGUGAUGUGUCGUUACCCUGCAAACAGCUUGAGAACUGCUUUGACAGCCAAUAGAAUAAAACAGUGCAGUGUGGCCACAGCAAGCGCGUGAUCUUUCUAACAAUUUACAGUUACACUAUGAUCCCAACGAGGAGUGAUGCUCAAACCUCCGUCCGAUUACCUGUGUUCUUUUCUCUUACUGUAACAACGUUGUUUCUUUCCAACAUGCACGUGUUCAUGCAAAAAUGCCAAGAUUCUCCAUGCAGAUUAAAGUAGGUUUACAAAUUAAGGAAAGGCUGGUAUGGAACAAAAGGGAAAUUAAAUUAUCCCAGCAAUUGUGCACUUCCUUGUAAUCAAGUCCUGUCUGUGGCAGAUGUUGUGUAGGAUACACACUCGAUGAGGCCUAUGAGAAUUUUCCUUGUGUAAAGACUGCAGGAGCUAGCCCUAGCAAAUCACACUAUCCUAAAAAUGGUGGCCAGUAAGCCAUAGAUGGGCUCUCUUGGGGAAAAAACCAGGAAGAAAACUUGGUGAGAGCUUGAUCCUCUGUGGUGUCACCUUUCACAAUUGAGUGAAUGACAAACAAAAGAAAAAAAAGGUGAGCUAAGUCACUGUGAGAUUGGAUGUCUCCUGUUGUGGAAUGGAAAGAAAUCCAGUGACAUGCUCCCUCCCAUUAGAUCUGAUACAAUUGCUGUAUGAUAAAGAUUAAUUUCUAAAAAUCAACUGUAAACCUAUAGGUCAGCCAAUAAGACAGUGACUUGACAAAUUUUUCAUUGCAAAGUGUAUGAUAGUUUCAUGCCUUUAAUCUGCAUCACUGCAGACAGUGUAUUGUUGAAUCCAGUGAAGUUUGAAUCCCACUAUGAAUUUGUUUUCCACAAAUAGAUUAUAAACAGAAACCUUUGAUUUCUAUUAAUUAUGUAUCUUUGAGUGAAAAGCUACUGUGUGUGUAUAUAUAUAUUUAAUAACAGGAAAUGUAACAAACAUUUAUUUUUGUUAAACUAAUAAAACAAAUAAACCUAUC
Gymnogyps californianus (California condor) is the source of this 1620-nucleotide long non-coding RNA. RefSeq lists it as uncharacterized. The record is from RefSeq and is a predicted model, not a curated record. The transcript is spliced from 5 exons. Lineage: Eukaryota; Metazoa; Chordata; Aves; Accipitriformes; Cathartidae.